Molecule: small nuclear RNA, 23 nt
Filed under: Arabidopsis thaliana (thale cress)
Lineage: Eukaryota; Viridiplantae; Streptophyta; Magnoliopsida; Brassicales; Brassicaceae
Description: snRNA_19266
Source: RNAcentral
UAUUUGUCCAAUAUCGAAAUGGA